GAUAUAGUUAAGGAGGACAUCUUUGCUGUUGUCAAGGACUUCUCCUAUGAUUAAUACUACUGUUAUAGCUCUUAUUCCCAAAGAUAAAACCCCAGCAACUGUGAAAGAUUACAAACCUAUAGCAUGUUGCACCACAUUGUACAAGAUCAUUUCCAAAGUCAUCACUAGGAGGAUGAAAGCUGUGAUAGGUGAACUGGUAGGGCAGGCUCAAUCUGCCUUCAUCGAAGGUAGAAGCAAACUGAACGAUAUCAUACUCAAUCAUGAAAUCUUCAAAGGCUAUUCUAGGAAAGAUGUUUCUCCUAGAUGUGUCUUGAAGGUGGACCAUAGGAAGGCCUAUGACACAUUGGUUUGGAGGUUCCCAAAACAAAUAUUAGUUUAUCUGGGCUUUCCUGCUAUCUUUGUGCAAUGGAUAAUGGAGUGUGUCACAGCUGUCUCUUAUUCCCUCUUGCUAAAUGGUGGUCUCACACAGCCUUUCAAAGCUAAAAGGGGUAUUUGACAAGGUGACCCUAUGUCACCCUACUUAUUUGUACUGGCCAUGGAGUACCUCAAGAGGAUAUUGGGACAACUGCACAGAAAUGGAGACUUCAAUUUCCACCCAAAAUGAAGAAAACUAAACUGUACUCAUGUCUGCUUUGCUGAUGAUCUACUGAUGUUUUGUAGAGCUGACCUGGUUUCUGUUCAAAUCUUAAAGGAAGCUUUCCUCAAGUUCUCCAAAGCCUCAGGGCUGCAAGCUAAUAUGUCAAAAAGUGCACUAUAUAUAGCUGGAGUUAAUGUUCUCCAAAGCCUCAUGUCUGGAAGCUAAUCUAUCAAAAAGUGCAUUAUAUAUAGCUGGAGUUAAUCAGGAUGCCAAGGCAGUGAUUCUGGAGGCAUUAGGAUUCAGGAUUCACUGAAAGGCAAAUUUCCCUUCAGGUAUAUGGGGAUUGCUCUUGACUCCAAAAAAACUGUCUGUUGGCCACUACUUACCAGUAAUUGAGAAGAUUACAGCUAAAGUAACAUGCUGGUCUGCCAAACUGCUUUCGUAUGCUGGAAGAUGUCAGCUGAUAAAGUCUGUCAUUUUUGGCAUUCAAACCUACUGGGCUCAAGUGUUCAUCCUGCCUAAGAGAGUAUGAGAACCAUUGAGAACAUAUGCAGAACCUUUCUUUGGAUUGGGAGUGUAAAGCUGUCCAGAAAGGCCUUAGUGGCAUGGAACAGAGUAUGUAGGCCUAUCUCUGCUGGUGGAUUGAAUAUUAUAGAUAUGACAGUAUGGAAUAAGGCAGCAAUUAGCAAGC
This 1268-nucleotide long non-coding RNA is filed under the name Nicotiana benthamiana. RNAcentral's name for it is "long non-coding RNA (NBEN_LNC039147)". Lineage: Eukaryota; Viridiplantae; Streptophyta; Magnoliopsida; Solanales; Solanaceae. The record is from RNAcentral.